RNAcentral lists this long non-coding RNA (762 nucleotides) under Parus major (Great Tit). RNAcentral's name for it is "lncRNA (ENSPMJG00000002196.1)". Lineage: Eukaryota; Metazoa; Chordata; Aves; Passeriformes; Paridae. The record is from RNAcentral.
GUUUAUACUGGUUUAUACUGGUUUGGGCGCUGGGGUCACUGGUCUGAACUGGUCUGGACUGGUUUGAACUGGUUUGAACUGGUUUGGACUGGUUUGGACUGGUCUGAACUGGUCUGAACUGGUUUGGACUGGUUUGGACUGGUUUGGACCGGUUUGAACUGGUCUGAACUGGUCUGAACUGGUUUGAACUGGUUUGAACUGGUCUGAACUGGUCUGAACUGGUUUGAACUGGUUUAGACUGGUCUGAACUGGUCUGAACUGGUUUGGACUGGUUUGGACUGGUUUGAACUGGUCUUGACUGGUUUGAACUGGUUUGGACUGGUUUAAACUGGUCUGGACUGGUUUGAGCUGGUUUAUACUGGUCUGGACUGGUUUGAACUGGUUUGAACUGGUUUUUACUGGUUUGAACUGGUUUGAACUGGUUUGAACUGGUUUGAACUGGGAGGGGCUCUGGGCUCACUGGGAGUGGAUUUGGGCUCACUGGUUUGAACUGGGAACUCAAUUCCCCUUACUGGUUUUUACUGGUUUGGCCUUUUUCCUUACUGGUUUGGGCUCUGGGGUUACUGGUUUGAACUGGUUUGAACUGGUUUGAACUGGUUUGAACUGGUUUGAACUGGUUUUUACUGGUUUGAACUGGUUUGAACUGGGAGGGGCUCUGGGCUCACUGGGAGGGGAUUUGGGCUCACUGGUUUGAACUGGGAACUCAAUUCCCCUUACUGGUUCAUACUGGUUUUUGAUUUUCCCCUCCUGCUUGCCCCCGGG